Schizosaccharomyces pombe (fission yeast) is the source of this 1044-nucleotide non-coding RNA. NCBI's taxonomy places the organism in Eukaryota, Fungi, Ascomycota, Schizosaccharomycetes, Schizosaccharomycetales, Schizosaccharomycetaceae. The record is from the annotation of a GenBank genome assembly.
AAAAGCAGUUAUUUGUUAGGAGCUGCUGUUUUUAUAACCGUGUUCUCUAUAGUAAGACACGAACUCGUCUAUGAGGGUUGGCCACGCACCUUCAAAAUCAUAAUUAGAGCAAUUGGGAUCUGAUUUAACAAAUACACUAAAAUCCCAUAAUUCAUUCCACGUAUCCUUUGGCAGAGAUUUUUCGAUAAUAGGGGAAACUUUUAAAAAAGCAAUCCAAUCAUCCAGAAGAGGAAAAGUAUCUUUAAGAAGAAUCUGGAAAAAUUCAAUGGCAAUGGAAGUGCUUAAAGUCUUCUUUCCUUUAUCACAUGCAAGCGGGUAUGUGUAAAUAUAAAUGGCUUUUUGAAGGGAUGCAUCUGACCUCCAAACUUGCACUUUUUCUUUUAUGGCAAGUUUUAAUUGAUCAAGGCUAGUUGUUGAGAGAUUGAGAGCACCUUCAACAAAACUUUCUCGAUGGAAUUCUCCCAUUCGCGGGGACUUUAGGAAAUAAGAAACAAGUAGAGUUUCAGGAUCCUCGAGUGAAAUGUCUAGCGCCGUAAAUAAUUGCACCGAGCCAUCAAGUUCUAUCAAAUCUUUAUCCUCUUUAGAGGAAAAUUGACUGAAAACAUUGUUUAAUUGCUUUUCCGCCUCUUCUCUAGAUUUUUGCUGUAUCCAUUUCGUGUAGGCCACAUCAUAAUCAAAAUUAUACUUUUUAAGCCAGCUGAGAGCUGCCUUAGAAGAAGUUGAUGUGGCUUUAGAAAAUGCUCUAGUCAAAGAUACGGUAUCCGGUUUCAUAGGUUUUUGAUUGCUAUUGUAUAUACACUUAACUGGUAAAAGUAGCUGUAUAAGUUUUUGAGAAAUAAACAGACUGAAUUUAGCAAAAAUGUAAAAUUUGAGCACAACCGGUUGACCAGAUUUUCGAAAAAGGGAGACAAUAAUCAAUUUUAACACCGUCAAACAGAUUUGUAUCUUGAGAGAAAACACAAUCCACGGCUAACACAGAAAAUGAGUAUUAUACGGAACAAAAGAGUUGAGUUAGUAAUUUGGUUUUAUAUGCUUAAGCUGAGA